UACGUAGGUGGCAAGCGUUGUCCGGAAUUACUGGGCGUAAAGGGUUUGUAGGUGGCCUGCUAAGUCAGACGUGAAAUCCCUCAGCUUAACUGGGGAACUGCGUCUGAUACUGGCGGGCUUGAGGACAGGAGAGGAACGCGGAAUUCCAGGUGUAGCGGUGAAAUGCGUAGAUAUCUGGAGGAACACCGGUGGCGAAGGCGGCUUUCUGGACAAAUACCGACGCUGAGGCACGAAAGCUAGGGGAGCAAACAGG
RNAcentral lists this ribosomal RNA (253 nucleotides) under uncultured bacterium. RNAcentral describes it as "partial 16S ribosomal RNA". It matches the Rfam family "Bacterial small subunit ribosomal RNA", at positions 524 to 776 of the family's 1533-position model. The record is from RNAcentral.